RNAcentral lists this ribosomal RNA (335 nucleotides) under uncultured bacterium. RNAcentral's name for it is "bacterial SSU rRNA". It matches the Rfam family "Bacterial small subunit ribosomal RNA", at positions 139 to 507 of the family's 1533-position model. The record is from RNAcentral.
CGGGAUAACCGCGGGAAACUGCGGCUAAUACCGAAUGCCCUCGAGAGAGGAAAGAUUUAUCGCCAGAAGAGGAGCCCGCGUCCGAUUAGGUAGUUGUCGGGGUAAAGGCCUACCAAGCCGACGAUCGGUAGCUGGUCUGAGAGGAUGAUCAGCCACACUGGGACUGAGAUACGGCCCAGACUCCUACGGGAGGCAGCAGUGGGGAAUAUUUGGACAAUGGGGGCAACCCUGAUCCAGCAAUGCCGCGUGAGUGAUGAAGGCCUUAGGGUUGUAAAGCUCUUUUGCCAGGGAAGAUGAUGACUGUACCUGGAGAAUAAGCCCCGGCUAACUUCGUG